GGGGCGUUAGUAAACCUAUUACAUAGCUCUGUCAAAACUAAAUCACAAGUGAAAACCUUGUACACCCCA
Molecule: transfer RNA, 69 nt
Filed under: Psophia crepitans (common trumpeter)
Lineage: Eukaryota; Metazoa; Chordata; Aves; Gruiformes; Psophiidae
Description: tRNA-Asp
Source: RNAcentral